UACAGAGGUGGCAAGCGUUGUUCGGAAUUACUGGGCGUAAAGGGCGCGUAGGCGGUCUUCUAAGUCUUGUGUGAAAUCCCUCGGCUCAACUGAGGAACUGCACGGGAUACUGGAAGACUUGAGUUCGGGAGAGGGAAGCGGAAUUCCGGGUGUAGCGGUGAAAUGCGUAGAUAUCCGGAGGAACACCGGGGGCGAAGGCGGCUUCCUGGACCGAUUACUGACGCUGAGGCGCGAAAGCUAGGGGAGCAAACGGG
RNAcentral lists this ribosomal RNA (254 nucleotides) under uncultured bacterium. Its description in RNAcentral is "partial 16S ribosomal RNA". It matches the Rfam family "Bacterial small subunit ribosomal RNA", at positions 524 to 776 of the family's 1533-position model. The record is from RNAcentral.